RNAcentral lists this ribosomal RNA (476 nucleotides) under Otiorhynchus singularis. RNAcentral describes it as "partial 16S ribosomal RNA". It matches the Rfam family "Bacterial large subunit ribosomal RNA", at positions 1831 to 2566 of the family's 2925-position model. Lineage: Eukaryota; Metazoa; Arthropoda; Insecta; Coleoptera; Curculionidae. The record is from RNAcentral.
CUUUUGAGUAUAAUUUAAGGUCUGGCCUGCCCAAUGAGUAUUUGAAUGGCCGCGGUAUCUUGACCGUGCAAAGGUAGCAUAAUCAUUAGUUUUUUAAUUGGAAGCUGGAAUGAAAGGUUGGAUGAGAAAACUAUUGUCUCUAUUUAAUUUAUUUAGAAUUUUAUAUUUAAGUUAAAAAGCUUAAAUUGAAUUAGAAGACGAGAAGACCCUAUAGAGUUUAAUUAAUUUUUAUGAUGAAAUUUUUAGUAUUAAUUUUUUUUUUAGGGAAAUUAAUUUAGUUGGGGUGAUUAAAAAAUUUAAAGAACUUUUUUUUAUUAUUUAGUACAUUGAUGUAUGAGUAUAUGAUCCUUUAAUAGAGAUUAAAAGAAAAAAUUACCUUAGGGAUAACAGCGUAAUUUUUUUAGAGAGUUCAAAUCGAAAAAAAAGAUUGCGACCUCGAUGUUGGAUUAAAAUAAAAUUUUGGUGUAGAAGCUGAA